Long non-coding RNA from Prionailurus viverrinus (fishing cat), 451 nucleotides. RefSeq lists it as uncharacterized. The record is from RefSeq and is a predicted model, not a curated record. Lineage: Eukaryota; Metazoa; Chordata; Mammalia; Carnivora; Felidae. The transcript is spliced from 3 exons.
GUUGGUGGGUGACGUAUUGGGAGAGCAGAGCAGUGAGAGGAAGUGGGGCAUUGCCUGGAUUUCACGGAUUUACCUCCAUUUGUACCCCCAUCUCCACCUCCUUCAUGUACUUUAUACGGGCCUCUAUCAUAGGUCUUAUCAAUCCAGCCCAGUCUAAAUUAUAUAAACUCUUCUCUGGCAUAUUUGACAAAGAAUGAAGGAUUUCUGCAGUUUCUCAGUAAUUAUUCUUUAAAUAUUAAUAAUUGAGAUAAAGACAAAAGAAGAGAACACUAAAUUGCAUAAGGAUUCCAAGAUAAAGAAUAUUUGUAGCCACCUAGAAGACUCCUAUGUGCCUCCAUUCAGUGAACACUCACCCGUCAAUGACAGCCACUAUUCUAGUGAGUUUGCCUGUUUUUGAACUUCAGAGAGACUCAGAGUGCGAGUCGGGAGGGACAGAGAAAGAGAGGAAGAC